UCUCCGUUGGUGAACCAGCGGAGGGAUCAUUACCGAGUUUACAACUCCCAAACCCAUGUGAACAUACCUGUUGCCUCGGCGGCCUACCCGGAAGCUACCCUGUAGCUACCCUGUAGACCGCCGGCGGAUUUCAAAACUCUUGUUUUCAGUUGUCAUCUCUGAGAAUAAAACAAAUAAAUCAAAACUUUCAACAACGGAUCUCUUGGUUCUGGCAUCGAUGAAGAACGCAGC
RNAcentral lists this unclassified non-coding RNA (231 nucleotides) under uncultured fungus. Its description in RNAcentral is "sequence contains ITS1, 5.8S rRNA gene". The stretch from base 183 to 231 matches the Rfam family "5.8S ribosomal RNA", at positions 1 to 49 of the family's 154-position model. Lineage: Eukaryota; Fungi. The record is from RNAcentral.